Regulatory RNA element from Kurthia sp. 11kri321, 73 nucleotides. The record is from Rfam. Lineage: Bacteria; Bacillati; Bacillota; Bacilli; Caryophanales; Caryophanaceae.
CCCGUGCUACAACCGCACUGACGAGGUUCAAGUAUCUUUUAGAUCACCUUUGAAGGCGAGUCUGAGUCUAUUG